AUGAGAGAGAGGGAGAGAGAGAGAAAGAAAGAGUUUGCACGGACGUACAUCUGAUCAGAAGUUUUACUGAGCGACGAAUGCACAUGAAUUCAUACUCCACGUGCCGCGUCGUAACUCAGUUUCACAGUAUUUAUGUUCGCGCGGUGCUUUUGAUCUUGUUUCGACGAGCUUCACGUCACAGCAAGUUGUUUAGUUUGUCCACGCAGAAGAGGAUGAUGUUUCAGCAAAAACAGUUGACAGUCUCCUUUGCCCCACCUGUAGUGGGAGACACAGUCAGUGACCCGACAAGGCUGGGUAUCGGGCGGGCGAAUGAGACGGGAACAUUUAGACUCCUGCGUCUUGCGCUCGUCACCGCCGACACAAGAAACCUCACGAUGCUGCAGUCCAUUUCCACACGAUGAUGAACACUAUGGAGAACGACACAGACGCAGUUUGGUAAACUUGAUGAGACUAGGUGGGUUUUUCACUGAAUGAAUGCCAUCCAAAUGCAGGCAAACUUGGCAAAUUUGCCACAACAAAUGAAAAUUUCCGUUUCACUAUAUCACCAAGUCUGCUUGUGGUUAACACAGAAGAUGAAGUCUGAAAUUUAGCCAAAUGAAAAUCAAAUGAAACUGGUAUUUACAUCAGAUGGAACUGAGCUCUGUUCAUUUACAUGAGUUUAAAUAUUGGUCAUAGUGUGUAGAUCAUGCUGGGUCAUUUGUUCAUGUGUAUUUGGUUGUUGAUUGGAAAGGCUCUUGAAAUAACAGGCAGAGAUGAUCUGUGUAUGGGAGUGAUUUUUAUAGAAAGAGAGAUUUUGAGUGCUACUGUGUAUCCCAUUGGGAUAUAUAUUAAAACAGUGAGCGGACUCCGACAUCUUACACUCUGAAUGUGUUUGUGUUUGAAGAAACGGAACAACAUGCAUUUUAAAUUCCUUAUUAAAUAUAUUAUUUUUGGUGGGGCAGUAUUCAUAUUAAUAAGCACAUGAGUAAGUAUGCAUAAAUGAGUGAGUAAAGUGAAGAAUAAAUGAGGGCUUUCUGACUCGGUGAAAUUAGGAUAUGCUCUGCUAUACAAAUACAAUUUUCUGCAUAUCAACUUUCCUUCUCUUCACUUAGUUAUGAUGCAGUCUGCUCAUGUAAAUCUCUAAAUAUAUGCUGCUGAUGAUCUAGAAUCAAAAGUUUGGUUUCAUUUUUUUUUUUUCUGGAAAUGAGCUUUUAUCCAACAAGAAUGCAUUAUACUGAUCAGAAGUCUCAGGUUAGACUUUUACAUUCUUAUAUUUUUAUAUAUUUUAAAUAUUUCUAUUUCAUAAAAAUAUAUACAUAUUAAAGAAUCCUAAAAAAAGAGAUGUAUGAAGGUUUAAACAAAAAUAUUAAGCAGCACAACUGUCUUCAGCAUUAAUAUAUUUAUCUUAAGAUUAAUAUAUGAAUUAAAAGCAUUCAUUUUACUCAUCUUUACUCAUCAUAUUUAUAGAUGUAUUCUGACUUCGCAGUUGCGAGUUAUAAAGUCCAGUUACAAGGGGGAAUUUUUUUUUUUCUCAGAAUUGCAAAUUCUUAACUUAAUAAUUCACAUUUUCUUUAUACAGUCAGAAUUGCGAGUUAUAUUAUAUAUAAACUUGCAAUUCUGAUUUUCUCACUUCUGACUUUUUUUUCACAAUUUUGAGUUUGACAUGAAAUUCUUAGGAAAAAAAAAGUCAGAAGUGCGAGUUAUAUAACUCAAUUAUUUAUUUCUCAGAAUCGUAAGUCUUUAUUUGAGUUUUUUUCUUGCAAUUUCAAGUGUAUAUCUCACAAUUCUGAUAAAUAAAGUCAAGUGUGAGUUUGUAUCACAAUUCUGAGAAAAAAAGUCAGAAGUGUGAGUUUGUAUGAGGCAACUCUGACUUUAUUUCUUAGAAAUGUGACUAUUUCUCAGAAUUGUGAUGCUACUUUGCAAUUUUGAGUUUAUAUCUUAGAAUUCUAAUAAAAAAGAGUCAGAAGUGUGAGUUUGUAUAACACAAUGACUUUAAUUCUCAGAAAUAUGAUUUUGUCUCAGAACUGUGAAUUUAUUUCACAAUUUUUAAGUUUUUUUCUCUAAAUUUCAAGUUAAUAUCUCACAAUUCUGAGAAAAGUCAGAAGUGCGAGUUUUUAUAAUGCAGCUCUGACUUUAUUUCUUAGAAUUGUGACUUUAUUUUGCAAUUUUGAGCUUUUUCUCACAAUUUUGAGUUUAUAUCUCACAAUUCUGAUUAAAAAAAGUCAGAAGUGUGUUCGUAUCACGCAAUUUUGAAAAAAAAAAGUCAGAAUUGCAAGUUUAUUUAUAUUAUAUAUAAACUUGCAAUUCUGACUUUCUUACAUCUGACUGUUUUCCCACAAUUUUAAGUUUAUUUCACACAAUUCUGAAAAAAAAAAUUCGGAAUUGUCAGAUAAAUAACGCAAUUUUGACUACUUCUCAGAAUUGUGACUUCGGAAUUCUGAGCUUUUUCUCGCAAUUUGAAGUUUGUAUCAAUUCUGAGAAAAAAGUCAGAAUUGUGAGAUAAAUAAUUGCAACAACCUUUUUUUUAUUUUUUAUUCAGUGGCAGAAACAAGCUUCCAUAAAUAGCAGAAUAUACAAACACUUUGAG
Molecule: long non-coding RNA, 2566 nt
Organism: Labeo rohita (rohu)
Lineage: Eukaryota; Metazoa; Chordata; Actinopteri; Cypriniformes; Cyprinidae
Exons: 3
Source: RefSeq, a predicted model, not a curated record